This 231-nucleotide long non-coding RNA is filed under the name Elaeis guineensis (African oil palm). Its description in RNAcentral is "long non-coding RNA (EGUI_LNC025452)". The record is from RNAcentral. Lineage: Eukaryota; Viridiplantae; Streptophyta; Magnoliopsida; Arecales; Arecaceae.
UCUUCUUCUAUCUUGAGAUCAUCAAUUCCUAGCUUUGCGCUGAUUUCCCUUCAUUGUGGUUGUCAAAAAACAAGGUCGAAGAAACCACCAGAACCAAGGUAAAACCCUAGCUUUAUCUCUCCUAUCAUCUCCUUUCUUUCCACAGCCUUAGGCACCCCUUGUUGGUCGAUACUUUAUCGAAAACUGACCAAGAUCCGCAUCCCUAUUUUCACAGCCAUCUUCUUCAUCCUG